Molecule: small nucleolar RNA, 134 nt
Organism: Otolemur garnettii (small-eared galago)
Lineage: Eukaryota; Metazoa; Chordata; Mammalia; Primates; Galagidae
Source: Ensembl
CUCUUGGGUCCUCGAUACAGCCCUGGAAUGAGCCCGCAAUAUUUUCCUUAUAUGAUCAGGUUCCAUUGCUGCUUGCCCAGAGCCUGAGAUGAUUAUGAAAACGUGGCAGGCGAAGUGGGGCCAGGGACCCGGAG